GAUGAACGCUGGCGGCGUGCCUAAUACAUGCAAGUCGAGCGAAGCGGGGACGGGUGAGUAAAACGUGGAUAACCUCCUAUAAGACUGGGAUCAAUUCGGGAAAACGGAGAUAAACCGGAUAAUUAUAAAUGGAUCCGCGCUGCAUUAGCUAGUUGGUAAGGUAACGGCUUACCAAGGAAACGAUGCAUAGCAGACCUGAGAGGGUGAUCGGACACACUGGAACUGAGACACGGUCCAGACUCCAACGGGAGGCAGCAGUAGGGAAUCUUCCGCAAUGGGCGAAAGCCUGACGGAGCAACGCCGCGUGAGUGAUGAAGGUCUUCGGAUCGUAAAACUCUGUUAUUAGGGAAGCGGUACCUAAUCAGAAAGCCACGGCUAACUACGUGCCAGCAGCCGCGGUAAUUC
RNAcentral lists this ribosomal RNA (405 nucleotides) under uncultured bacterium. RNAcentral's name for it is "partial 16S ribosomal RNA". It matches the Rfam family "Bacterial small subunit ribosomal RNA", at positions 28 to 526 of the family's 1533-position model. The record is from RNAcentral.